ACUCAAAGGAAUUGACGGGGGCCCGCACAAGCAGCGGAGCAUGUGGUUUAAUUCGAAGCAACGCGAAGAACCUUACCUGGACUUGACAUCCCCUGAAUUACCGGUAAUGCGGGAAGCCCUUCGGGGCAGGGAGACAGGUGGUGCAUGGUUGUCGUCAGCUCGUGUCGUGAGAUGUUAGGUUAAGUCCUGCAACGAGCGCAACCCUUAUCAUUAGUUGCUACCAUUAAGUUGAGCACUCUAGUGAGACUGCCCGGGUUAACCGGGAGGAAGGUGGGGAUGACGUCAAAUCAUCAUGCCCCUUAUGUCCAGGGCUACACACGUGCUACAAUGGUGAGUACAAUUAGAUGCAAACCCGCGAGGGGGAGCCAAACUAAAAAACUCAUCCCAGUUCGGAUUGUAGGCUGAAACUCGCCUACAUGAAGCUGGAGUUGCUAGUAAUCGCGAAUCAGAAUGUCGCGGUGAAUACGUUCCCGGGCCUUGCACACACCGCCCGU
Molecule: ribosomal RNA, 494 nt
Filed under: uncultured bacterium
Lineage: Bacteria
Description: partial 16S ribosomal RNA
Rfam family: Bacterial small subunit ribosomal RNA
Source: RNAcentral